Molecule: ribosomal RNA, 434 nt
Filed under: soil fungal sp. DM2-379
Lineage: Eukaryota; Fungi
Description: eukaryotic LSU rRNA
Rfam family: Eukaryotic large subunit ribosomal RNA
Source: RNAcentral
CGGCAACNGCUCAAUUUGAAAUCUGGCCCCCAGGGCCCGAGUUGUAAUUUGCAGAGGAUGCUUUUGGCGCGGUGCCUUCCGAGUUCCCUGGAACGGGACGCCAUAGAGGGUGAGAGCCCCGUCUGGUCGGACGCCUAGCCUGUGUAAAGCUCCUUCGACGAGUCGAGUAGUUUGGGAAUGCUGCUCUAAAUGGGAGGUAUAUGUCUUCUAAAGCUAAAUACCGGCCAGAGACCGAUAGCGCACAAGUAGAGUGAUCGAAAGAUGAAAAGUACUUUGAAAAGAGGGUUAAAUAGUACGUGAAAUUGUUGAAAGGGAAGCGCUUGUGACCAGACUUGGGCCCGGUGGAUCAUCCAGCGUUCUCGCUGGUGCACUCCCCCGGGUUCAGGCCNUUCUCAGUUCNCCGCAGGGGAAAAAGGCUUCGGGAACNUGGCUCC